GUGUAUGGCCAUACCACCCUGAACGCGCCCAAUCUCGUCUGAUCUUGGAAGCUAAGCAGGGUUGGGCCUGGUUAGUACUUGGAUGGGAGACUUCCUGGGAAUACUGGGUGCUGUAGGCU
RNAcentral lists this ribosomal RNA (119 nucleotides) under Neotoma lepida (desert woodrat). The record is from RNAcentral. Lineage: Eukaryota; Metazoa; Chordata; Mammalia; Rodentia; Cricetidae.